GUACACGCUGUGACUAGCAUAUCAAUAAGCGGAGGAAAAGAAACUAACAAGGAUUCCCCUAGUAACGGCGAGUGAAGCGGGAAGAGCUCAAAUUUGAAAUCUUAAAGGGUUUCCCUUUACGAAUUGUAGUUUAAAGAAGUGUUUUCUGUUGAGGUUUUGGUAAAAGUUCUUUGGAAUAGGACAUCAUAGAGGGUGAGAAUCCCGUAUUUGACCCUUACUUUCAACUUUGUGAUACACUUUCAAAGAGUCGGAUUGUUUGGGAAUGCAGUCCAAAAUGGGUGGUAAAUUUCAUCUAAAGCUAAAUAUUGGCGAGAGACCGAUAGCGAACAAGUACCGUGAGGGAAAGAUGAAAAGAACUUUGAAAAGAGAGUUAAACAGUACGUGAAAUUGUCAAAAGGGAAGCGUUUGACACCAGUGUUGUUUUUCUGAAAAUCAAUUAAAGAACUGUUUAUGCUAAGCUGUUUAGACUUUAUCAGCUAUCUGUUUAGUUUUGAGCUUUUCUUUAAUGCACUUUUCAGUUAACAAGUCAACAUCAAUUUCUUUCGCUGUAAAAAAGCUUGAGGAAGGUGGCUUGAGAUUCGUCCUUAAGUGUUUAUAGCCUCUUGCCUAUGCAGUCGGAGAGAUUGAGGUCUGCAGCGUAGAUCCUUCGGGGCUAAAUGCAUUUGUGCUAAGUUAUAGCAUUUUAUAGACAACUUGUUGACUAUGAUUUGUCUUGUAGCUUACUCGCUUAUGUUAUUUUACCUACGCUUAGGAUGUUGAUAUGCAUGACUGAUAU
Molecule: ribosomal RNA, 775 nt
Filed under: uncultured Neocallimastigales
Lineage: Eukaryota; Fungi; Neocallimastigomycota; Neocallimastigomycetes; Neocallimastigales
Description: partial large subunit ribosomal RNA
Rfam family: Eukaryotic large subunit ribosomal RNA
Source: RNAcentral